Molecule: transfer RNA, 90 nt
Filed under: SAR86 cluster bacterium BACL1 MAG-120920-bin57
Lineage: Bacteria; Pseudomonadati; Pseudomonadota; Gammaproteobacteria
Also listed under: 10 other names
Description: tRNA-Ser
Rfam family: tRNA
About the family: Transfer RNA (tRNA) molecules are approximately 80 nucleotides in length. Their secondary structure includes four short double-helical elements and three loops (D, anti-codon, and T loops). Further hydrogen bonds mediate the characteristic L-shaped molecular structure. tRNAs have two regions of fundamental functional importance: the anti-codon, which is responsible for specific mRNA codon recognition, and the 3' end, to which the tRNAs corresponding amino acid is attached (by aminoacyl-tRNA synthetases). tRNAs cope with the degeneracy of the genetic code in two manners: having more than one tRNA (with a specific anti-codon) for a particular amino acid; and 'wobble' base-pairing, i.e. permitting non-standard base-pairing at the 3rd anti-codon position.
Source: RNAcentral
GGAGGGAUGGCAGAGCGGUUGAAUGCACUGGUCUUGAAAACCAGCAAAGGGUCAAACCUUUCCAGGGUUCGAAUCCCUGUCCCUCCGCCA